This 510-nucleotide ribosomal RNA is filed under the name uncultured bacterium. RNAcentral's name for it is "partial 16S ribosomal RNA". It matches the Rfam family "Bacterial small subunit ribosomal RNA", at positions 355 to 853 of the family's 1533-position model. The record is from RNAcentral.
UGGGGAAUAUUGCACAAUGGGCGCAAGCCUGAUGCAGCCAUGCCGCGUGUGUGAAGAAGGCCUUCGGGUUGUAAAGCACUUUCAGCGAGGAGGAAGGUGGUGAGCUUAAUACGCUCAUCAAUUGACGUUACUCGCAGAAGAAGCACCGGCUAACUCCGUGCCAGCAGCCGCGGUAAUACGGAGGGUGCAAGCGUUAAUCGGAAUUACUGGGCGUAAAGCGCACGCAGGCGGUUUGUUAAGUCAGAUGUGAAAAUCCCCGGGCUCAACCUGGGAACUGCAUUUGAAACUGGCAAGCUAGAGUCUCGUAGAGGGGGGUAGAAUUCCAGGUGUAGCGGUGAAAUGCGUAGAGAUCUGGAGGAAUACCGGUGGCGAAGGCGGCCCCCUGGACGAAGACUGACGCUCAGGUGCGAAAGCGUGGGGAGCAAAACAGGAUUAGAUACCCUGGUAGUCCACGCUGUAAAACGAUGUCGAUUUUGGAGGUUGUGCCCUUGAGGCGUGGCUUCCGGAGCU